This 465-nucleotide ribosomal RNA is filed under the name uncultured bacterium. RNAcentral's name for it is "partial 16S ribosomal RNA". It matches the Rfam family "Bacterial small subunit ribosomal RNA", at positions 28 to 507 of the family's 1533-position model. The record is from RNAcentral.
GACGAACGCUGGCGGCGUGCUUAACACAUGCAAGUCGUACGGUAAGGCCCUUUCGGGGGUACACGAGUGGCGGACGGGUGGGUAACACGUGAGUAACCUGCCCACAACUUUGGGAUAACUCUAGGAAACUGGUUCUAAUACUUGCUAUGUGCUCGUGCUGCAUGCUGGGGGUUGGAAAGCUCCGGCGGUUGUGGAUGGACUCGCGGCCUAUCAGCUUGUUGGUGGGGUAGUGGCCUACCAAGGCGGCGACGGGCAGCCGGCCUGGGAGGGUGACCGGCCACAUUGGGACUGAGAUACGGGCCAGACCCCCACGGGGGGGAGCAGUGGGGAAUAUUGCACAAUGGGCGGAAGCCUGAUGCAGCAACGCCGGGGGCGGGAUGACGGCCUUCGGGUUGUAAACCGUCUUCAGCAGGGACGAAGCUUUUUGUGACGGUACCUGCAGAAGAAGCACCGGCUAACUACGUG